Molecule: long non-coding RNA, 1554 nt
Organism: Chelonoidis abingdonii (Abingdon island giant tortoise)
Lineage: Eukaryota; Metazoa; Chordata; Testudines; Testudinidae
Source: Ensembl
UAAUCUGUUUUUCUCUGUGAUUCUCAGGGCAUUUCUUAAAUUCCAGAUGUUUCAUAUCUUAACCAAAUGUUUGUGUGUAUAUGGGCGGGUGGAAACAGAUGUGCAAUAAGGCAGGAUGAUGGUCUGUGGUUCAUAAACAAGAGGUGAACCUGUCUGUUUGUCCACAGCGGGAGUUGGCUUUUCUCCGCCAGAAGGGGAAGCAUCGUAGGUUAGUCACCAACCAGAAUCUAGGAGACGGCCUGGCUGUGUGUCUGCUCUGAGAGACUUUUUACUGUCUAUAGACGCCCACGUGGAGUCCUGGGUCUAAAAUCCAGCGGCUGCUUUUUCCAGGACGUUUGCAGCUGUUUCUUCAUGCCGCGUUAAAGAGAAAUUCCUGGCCAGCCCAUCAAUCUGUGUGGCCUACGUGCUGCUCUGCCCUUCUCUCUGUUCUUUGUGAGCAUGUUGCUGCGCUGAAAGACGGUUCUACCUUUGUAACGGCAGAGGAUGGAGAGCGGGAGCAUCAGCCUAGCGAAACUCUACAGGGCUAGUGCGCUUGGGCAAGGGACUCUGCUGCCACUUUUUUGGUCCUUUCCGUUGACCCUGCUCUGGAGGAGGCCAAGGAUUGGGGUGUAGGACAGGAAAAGUUUGAGACUGACCAGGAUCCCAGGGGUUCAUGGCCAGUGUGAGAGGAACUGGGGGGUCUCGGUCCAGUCCCCAGGAGCCAGUGACAUUACACUAAUCCCCUGUGCAGCUGGCCCAUGGAGGAAGAAGUAACACCGGUUUUGGAAUAGCAGAGACUUUUAUCUGACACGAUAUCACUUUGUUGUUGAGACAGAUGAGCAUGAGAGCUUGCCCCCACCUCUGUCUGAUCCGAGCGAUCAAUCGUGAAAUGAGGCAUGAGCCCGGGGGUCCAUCCAGGGCCGGGUUGCCUGGCCGUCCUGCUGUCCACACUGUGCUGUCCUGCUGUCCUGCAUAGAGGGACAUCCAGCCUCCAGGGCUGUCUCCACUACAGAGUUAACAGGAAACACCUGGGAUCUGCCUGCUGGGGGCCCCUCCUAUCUUGCACCUCUCCAGCAAUUUCUCGCUUCUGUUUUUUUGGCAAUAGAUCAGCCAGGGAAAUGCAAACCCCUGCGUUUGGAAGCACAUGUGCUGUGGAUGUUGAUGGAAAAGCAAGGGCUGUACUGGCCUUGAUGGGACGAGCAGCCACAUUCUCUCACCUGAGCUCCGUGUCCCCAAACGCUGCUCCCACUUCACUCACCGAGUUGCAGUCAUGGCUGCUGCCACUGAGGAAGAGUGGGCGGCGACUUAAGAAUCAGGGCUACAUCGUCAGCUGGUGUGAAGGAGAGUAACUACAUUGCCGUGGAUGGAAGACUGCGAAUCUGCCCCAGCUUUCAAACAGCUGAUCUUGGUGGGGUGUGUGUAUGUGUGUGUCUCUCUGUGGGUUUUAAUUGGGACUUUUCACACUAGGCACUUAAUUAUUGAAACAAAGAUGCCUUGUUAAAACACCCACAGAUGGGGGGGGAGGAAUCUCCCCCCCCACCCCCACCCCAAACACACACCCAAAAAAGCCCUGGA